RNAcentral lists this ribosomal RNA (1360 nucleotides) under uncultured prokaryote. Its description in RNAcentral is "partial 16S ribosomal RNA". It matches the Rfam family "Bacterial small subunit ribosomal RNA", at positions 78 to 1446 of the family's 1533-position model. The record is from RNAcentral.
GCUUGCUAUUUGCUGACGACCGGCGCACGGGUGCGUAACGCGUAUACAAUCUACCUUUUGCUGAGGGAUAGCCCAGAGAAAUUUGGAUUAAGACCUCAUAGUAUGUAUUUAUGGCAUCAUAAAUAUAUUAAAGGUUACGGCAAAAGAUGAGUAUGCGUUCUAUUAGCUAGAUGGUGUGGUAACGGCACACCAUGGCAACGAUAGAUAGGGGCCCUGAGAGGGGGAUCCCCCACACUGGUACUGAGACACGGACCAGACUCCUACGGGAGGCAGCAGUGAGGAAUAUUGGGCAAUGGAGGCAACUCUGACCCAGCCAUGCCGCGUGCAGGAAGACUGCCCUAUGGGUUGUAAACUGCUUUUAUACAGGAAGAAACAGCUCUACGUGUAGAGCCUUGACGGUACUGUAAGAAUAAGGAUCGGCUAACUCCGUGCCAGCAGCCGCGGUAAUACGGAGGAUCCAAGCGUUAUCCGGAAUCAUUGGGUUUAAAGGGUCCGUAGGUGGAUAAUUAAGUCAGAGGUGAAAUCCUGCAGCUCAACUGUAGAAUUGCCUUUGAUACUGGUUAUCUUGAAUUAUUGUGAAGUAGUUAGAAUAUGUAGUGUAGCGGUGAAAUGCAUAGAUAUUACAUAGAAUACCAAUUGCGAAGGCAGAUUACUAACAAUAUACUGACACUGAUGGACGAAAGCGUAGGUAGCGAAAGGGAUUAGAUACCCCGGUAGUCUACGCCGUAAACGAUGGAUAAUAGCUGUUCGGACUUCGGUCUGAGUGGCUAAGCGAAAGUGAUAAGUAUCCCACCUGGGGAGUACGUUCGCAAGAAUGAAACUCAAAGGAAUUGACGGGGGCCCGCACAAGCGGUGGAGCAUGUGGUUUAAUUCGAUGAUACGCGAGGAACCUUACCAGGGCUUAAAUGUAGAUUGACAGGUUUAGAGAUAGACUUUUCUUCGGACAAUUUACAAGGUGCUGCAUGGUUGUCGUCAGCUCGUGCCGUGAGGUGUCAGGUUAAGUCCUAUAACGAGCGCAACCCCUGCCGUUAGUUGCCAGCAUGUUAUGAUGGGGACUCUAACGGGACUGCCAGUGCAAACUGUGAGGAAGGUGGGGAUGACGUCAAAUCAUCACGGCCCUUACGUCCUGGGCCACACACGUGCUACAAUGGCCGGUACAGAGAGCAGCCAUGUUGCAAGACAGAGCGAAAUCUAUAAAACCGGUCACAGUUCGGAUCGGGGUCUGCAACUCGACCCCGUGAAGCUGGAAUCGCUAGUAAUCGGAUAUCAGCCAUGAUCCGGUGAAUACGUUCCCGGGCCUUGUACACACCGCCCGUCAAGCCAUGGAAGUUGGAAGUGCCUGAAGUCCGUCACCGCAAGG